This 81-nucleotide non-coding RNA is filed under the name Streptomyces agglomeratus. Lineage: Bacteria; Bacillati; Actinomycetota; Actinomycetes; Kitasatosporales; Streptomycetaceae. The record is from RNAcentral.
AGAGGAAGCCCGGUGCGAAUCCGGCGCGGUCCCGCCACUGUGACCGGGGAAGACGAAGAGGUCCCCGGAAGCCAGGAACUC